Molecule: long non-coding RNA, 2060 nt
Organism: Pyrgilauda ruficollis (rufous-necked snowfinch)
Lineage: Eukaryota; Metazoa; Chordata; Aves; Passeriformes; Passeridae
Exons: 2
Source: RefSeq, a predicted model, not a curated record
UGAGAGGCUGUUUGCUUUCCCUCAGAGGGACAGGCAGUAGUGACUGCCUCUAACACCCAAGGGUCUCUGUCCCAAGCUCUUUUCCGUGGUCAUUGCUCAGUGUGUAGCUUCCCAAGCAAAGCAGAAAGUGCUUUGACAAGCUGUGCUGUGCAGUGGGCUUUUGUCCAGCUCCUGUUUGUUCCUCUCUGCACCCUCAGCAGGGGAAAUAAGUGUCUGGCUGCAAUCCAUGCUUACAGGUAGGAAGCCAGCUGUCAGCUCCAUGCUUAGGGGUCAGGCUUUGGCCAGCAGGAGGAAAACAUUACUGCAACUUCCUGUGUUUUUGUUGGGCUGCCCUAGAUAGGUUGAGUAAUUCUAGGCUGAGCCCACUCACUGGGGGAAGGAUUGAUUAGGCAGCUGCUGCAAUCUCAUGUCCCUCUGAAUGGAAAUAGGUCAGGGAAAAAAAACCCCACAAUGUCUGUGAAAAUAAAAAUUUCAAGAGCCAUUAGUGCACAAAUAUGGGUGAGAACAGGAGCUGAAACUCAUCCUCUGGUGUGCUUGCAGGUAUUCAGUGUGACUUGGCUUCCUCGUGGGGUAGGUGAAAGGUUCAGGUGAUGUGUGUUUGGGCCACUCUUGUUCUGGUCUGGCUGGGUCUACUCACACCAGUCUCUGACACUGUGCCCAUUGCCCCCUGUGCAGACGUUUGACAAGCAGGGAUUCCAUGCUGGCACCCCACCUCCCUUCAGCCUGCCUUCUGCUCUCGGAUCCACUGGGCCCCUGAACCCUGGUGCUGCCCCAGGUUAUUCAGCCCCGUUUCUCCAUAUCCUCCCUGCACAUCAGCAGCCUCAUUCCCAGAUGCUGCAUCACCACCUUCAGCAGGAUGGGCAGGGUGGAUCUGGCCAACGCAACCAACCCAGCACCAUGCAGCAAAAGUCUCAGGCUACCAAAACCGCCUAUGGCACUUCUCCAUACUGGACAAACUAAACCUGAAACCGGGGAGGGGGGAGAGAAUGAAAGGAGGAAGGAAAAAAAAAAAAAAAGAAAACAAAAGCAAAGGAAAGAGAAGAAAGAAAACAAAAGCUGAAGCCCAUUCUUGGAAUUAUUAGGAAAAGUAACUGCUCAGCCAAACGUCUGUGCGGGGAGAACUGCAGCCAGCCAGCCAUCCUCUGUGUGACUCGCCUGCUUCCUCUUUGAGUUGCUGUUAUAUGUAAUAUAUUUAUGUAUGUAUUUGUAAAUGUAAUAGAGCCUAAAUGUGGUUUUCUGCAUCUUGAAGCCUGUUUUAUUUUCUUUGUAGGAAAACUAAUUAUUCAUUUUCCAUCUGCACCAGGGCAUCAUUCUUUGUUUUGUCAUUUUAAGUUCUGUGGGUUUUGCAACUCUGUCAGACAAAGACAAAUUGCACCCUUUUUUUUUUGGAGCUGGAGCCCAUUUAUUUAAUGCAGUUCUAAAUUCAGACAAAUAAGGAGACCUGCCCUUCCAAAAACCUAAAUCAAGAUGUGUCCUGUUGGUUUGAUUGUAUCCCCCAACCCCCAAUAUAACUGUUAUUUUAGAGGGGGAAAAUAAAAGAAAGAAAAUAAAAAAGCUCUGUGGGCCUUCCCCUUUCUUUCAUUUCCUCCCUCCCACCCUCUUGCUGUGGAAGACAAGCUCUUGUGGGCAGUUUCAUCGCUGUGGCCUUGAGCUGCAGUCUCAACUUUUAAUUUUUCAAUUUUUUAAUAAUAAUAAAAAGGACAGGGUUUUGGUUUUUGUUUGUGCAAAGGUUUUUUGUUGGUGGCGUUUUUCUCUAGCAAGAGACUUUGGAUGGCUCAGUGUGUCCUGGAACCUCCUUGGCAUCAUUAGAGGCAAAAACUAUGUAGCGGUUUCUUAAAUUAAAGUAUAAGCUGUGUCUUGUACCUCUUUUUACCCUGAGCCACCUUCCCACGAAAGCCAGAGCUACUGGAUGGAAACUUCAUCUGUCCCUCCCCACUUUUUUUAAAACAAAAACCUUGGAGGCAUCUCCUGGUCCUUCGUGUCCUGCACCAGUGCGGUGAAUGUUCUAGGAGUUUCAUUUCUUUACAGCCCUUCCUCCACCUAAUAAAGAUCUGAUCAUA